CCUACGGGUGGCAGCAGUGAGGAAUAUUGGUCAAUGGGCGCGAGCCUGAACCAGCCAAGUAGCGUGAAGGAUGACUGCCCUACGGGUUGUAAACUUCUUUUAUAAAGGAAUAAAGUGAGGCCCGUGUGACUUUUUGUAUGUACUUUAUGAAUAAGGAUCGGCUAACUCCGUGCCAGCAGCCGCGGUAAUACGGAGGAGCCGAGCGUUAUCCGGAUUUCUUGGGCUUAAAGGUAGCGUAGAUGGGUUGUUAAGUCAGUUGUGAAGGUUUGCGGGUCAACCGUAAAAUUGAAGUUGAUACUGGCAGUCUUGAGUACAGUUGAGGGAGGCGGAAUUCGUGGUGGAGCGGUGAAAUGCUUAGAUAUCACGAAGAACUCCGAUUGCGAAGGCAGCUUACUAAACUGCCACUGACAUUGAUGCUCGAAAGUGUGGGUAUCAAACAGGAUUAGAUACCCGAGUAGUC
This 460-nucleotide ribosomal RNA is filed under the name uncultured bacterium. Its description in RNAcentral is "partial 16S ribosomal RNA". It matches the Rfam family "Bacterial small subunit ribosomal RNA", at positions 338 to 795 of the family's 1533-position model. The record is from RNAcentral.